GGGGACAACAGUUGGAAACGACUGCUAAUACCGCAUACGAUCUAAUCUCGGCAUCGAGGAUAGAUGAAAGGUGGCCUCUACAUGUAAGCUAUCACUGAAGGAGGGGAUUGCGUCUGAUUAGCUAGUUGGAGGGGUAACGGCCCACCAAGGCGAUGAUCAGUAGCCGGUCUGAGAGGAUGAACGGCCACAUUGGGACUGAGACACGGCCCAG
This 211-nucleotide ribosomal RNA is filed under the name uncultured Veillonellaceae bacterium. RNAcentral's name for it is "partial 16S ribosomal RNA". It matches the Rfam family "Bacterial small subunit ribosomal RNA", at positions 139 to 334 of the family's 1533-position model. The record is from RNAcentral. Lineage: Bacteria; Bacillati; Bacillota; Negativicutes; Veillonellales; Veillonellaceae.